GAAGGGGCAGCUGCUACUUCACAAUGACUGAAACAUCCUGUCUUUUCUGGAUUAUGUCUCCUACUGGUGUUAGUGUAUCCUAGCAUUCAGG
RNAcentral lists this long non-coding RNA (91 nucleotides) under Cyanistes caeruleus (blue tit). RNAcentral describes it as "lncRNA (ENSCCEG00000017414.1)". The record is from RNAcentral. Lineage: Eukaryota; Metazoa; Chordata; Aves; Passeriformes; Paridae.